RNAcentral lists this ribosomal RNA (253 nucleotides) under uncultured bacterium. RNAcentral describes it as "partial 16S ribosomal RNA". It matches the Rfam family "Bacterial small subunit ribosomal RNA", at positions 524 to 776 of the family's 1533-position model. The record is from RNAcentral.
UACGUAGGGCGCGAGCGUUGUCCGGAAUUAUUGGGCGUAAAGAGCUCGUAGGCGGCUUGUCGCGUCGGAUGUGAAAGCCCGGGGCUUAACUCCGGGUCUGCAUUCGAUACGGGCAGGCUAGAGUUCGGUAGGGGAGAUCGGAAUUCCUGGUGUAGCGGUGAAAUGCGCAGAUAUCGGGAGGAACACCGGUGGCGAAGGCGGUUCUCUGGGCCUGACCUGACGCUGAGGAGCGAAAGCGUGGGGAGCGAACAGG